GCCGUGGUGGUGGAACUGGUAGACACGCCAGAUUUAGGAUCUGGUGCUCGUAAGAGUGUGAAGGUUCGAGUCCUUUCCGCGGCAC
Molecule: transfer RNA, 85 nt
Filed under: Fidelibacterota bacterium
Lineage: Bacteria; Pseudomonadati; Fidelibacterota
Description: Candidatus Marinimicrobia bacterium tRNA-Leu
Rfam family: tRNA
About the family: Transfer RNA (tRNA) molecules are approximately 80 nucleotides in length.
Source: RNAcentral